GACGAACGCUGGCGGCGUGCUUAACACAUGCAAGUCGAACGAUGAAGCCGGAGCUUGCUCUGGUGAAUUAGUGGCGAACGGGUGAGUAACACGUGAGUAACCUGCCCUUGACUCUGGGAUAACUGCGGGAAACUGUAGCUAAUACCGGAUACGACCCUCGGAGGCAUCUCCUGGGGGUGGAAAGAAUUUCGGUCAAGGAUGGACUCGCGGCCUAUCAGCUAGUUGGUGAGGUAACGGCUCACCAAGGCGACGACGGGUAGCCGGCCUGAGAGGGUGACCGGCCACACUGGGACUGAGACACGGCCCAGACUCCUACGGGAGGCAGCAGUGGGGAAUAUUGCACAAUGGGCGCAAGCCUGAUGCAGCAACGCCGCGUGUGGGAUGACGGCCUUCGGGUUGUAAACCUCUUUUAGCAGGGAAGAAGCGAAAGUGACGGUACCUGCAGAAAAAGCACCGGCCAACUACGUGCCAGCCGCCGCCGUAA
RNAcentral lists this ribosomal RNA (484 nucleotides) under uncultured bacterium. RNAcentral's name for it is "partial 16S ribosomal RNA". It matches the Rfam family "Bacterial small subunit ribosomal RNA", at positions 28 to 523 of the family's 1533-position model. The record is from RNAcentral.